RNAcentral lists this ribosomal RNA (490 nucleotides) under uncultured bacterium. RNAcentral's name for it is "partial 16S ribosomal RNA". It matches the Rfam family "Bacterial small subunit ribosomal RNA", at positions 29 to 507 of the family's 1533-position model. The record is from RNAcentral.
AGUGAACGCUGGCGGCAGGCCUAAUACAUGCCAGUCGAACGGCAGCACAGUGGAGCUUGCUCCAUGGGUGGCGAGUGGCGGACGGGUGAGGAAUACAUGGGAAUCUGCCCAGUCGUGGGGGAUAACGUAGGGAAACUUACGCUAAUACCGCAUGCGCCCUUCGGGGGAAAGCCGGGGACCUUCGGGCCUGGCGCGAUUGGAUGAGCCCAUGUUCGAUUAGCUAGUUGGCGGGGUAAAGGCCCACCAAGGCGACGAUCGAUAGCUGGUCUGAGAGGAUGAUCAGCCACACUGGGACUGAGACACGGCCCAGACUCCUACGGGAGGUAGCAGUAGGGAAUAUUGGACAAUGGGCGCAAGCCUGAUCCAGCCAUGCCGCGUGAGUGAAGAAGGCCCUCGGGUUGUAAAGCUCUUUUGUCUGGGAAGAAAAGCAUCGGGCUAAUACCUCGGUGUUCUGACGGUACCGGAAGAAUAAGCACCGGCUAACUUCGUG